This 2830-nucleotide unclassified non-coding RNA is filed under the name Hevea brasiliensis (rubber tree). Lineage: Eukaryota; Viridiplantae; Streptophyta; Magnoliopsida; Malpighiales; Euphorbiaceae. The record is from RNAcentral.
GCUCGGUUAGGUUAAGCGGGAAAACUAGGUAGCCGGGCCCACCAGACUUAUCCUCUAUUGCUUACGUGGCAAUAUUUAGAGGGCAAAUUUGCCAAUUAAAAUAGUGUGUAGCAUAGAGAAAUGAGCAACUGAGCUUCAACCCUCCAAACGACGCUUUUUGUAGCUGUGUCUCUAAUCCAAUAUCGAAUCCUUAAUCCCGCGAAUACUAAUAGCAGAAGCUGAAUGGCAAAACAGGAUGCGUCAGAUUCAGAACUCGAAUCAGAGAAGUUGAGCGAAACCGAAGAAGAAAAUGAAGAAGAAGGGGAGGAGGAAGUGGAGCCUGGGACUCCCACCAGGAAUGUGGCGAAGCAGGGGAUAUCGGAGUACGAAAAGCAGAGGCUAUCGAGAAUUGCGGAAAACAAAGCCAGAAUGGAGGCUUUGGGUCUCCAUAAAAUGGCCUCUUCCUUGCUGGGUUCCAAUCAGAAGUCGAAUCAACUGCGGAAAUCGAUUCAGCGUAAAGGGAAAAGCAAGGUCGCUGAUGAUGACGACGAUUAUAGGCCCAAUGAUGAUGAUGCUGCUGAAGAUAAAGACGAUGAUGAUUCUGGCGGGGACGAAGAUGAUGAGGAUUUUGUUCACAGUCGAUCUUCUUCAAAGUCUCGUAGAAACAAGGUUAAGAAUAAAUGCUCAAAACCUAAGAAGAAAGUUACUAUUCAAAAGCAUUUUAGCAGCACAGAUUACAUUGAUGAAGAAAAUGAUGAACUAACGAAGGCAAUCGCUCUCUCAUUACAAGAUUCUGCUGAAGAUGCGACCCUUAAAGAAAGAAAGAGGGAUGCUAACAUUAAAGAAGGUGCAAGGAGGAAGAACAGAAAAAAAUCGGUUAGUUUUGGGCUUGGAUUGAUGUUUUCUUGUGGGGACAUGUUCUGUUUUUCUAUUUGGUGUUCCUCCUUUGAGGUGUGCUUCUUUGUUUUCUAUUAUGGCAUCAGCAGUUCAAUAAUCGGGUGCAGAUGACUGAGGAUGAACUGGUGUUACACUUCUUUCAGUUUGAUGAAGCAGGAAGAGGGUUGCUAACAGUAAGAGAUCUACAAAGAGUAGCAACUGCACAUGAUUUUACAUGGACAGACAGGGAAUUGACUGAUAUGAUACAUUGCUUUGAUAGCGAUGGAGAUGGGAAGGUAAGUUCUUGCUUUCUGAUUUUAUUCAGUUUUCCUUAAUUUGAUCAAUUAGUUAUAAUGCAAGUAUAUUAUUACAAAAUAGCCUUAGUAAUCUAUUGGAAAAGGGUACAAAAAUGAAUACUUGUGGGAAGAUGCAAACUAAGGACUCUUCCUAAAUAGACUGGAACUUUCUGAGUGGUUUAAUUAGGAAUAUCUGACGGACCUCAAGAUAUUUUGAUUGGAAAGUUUUUUUUCAAGGAAUUUGCAUAUCUUAUUCUAUUUACUUUAAUCUAGAACUAAGGUUUGCUGGACUUUUAUCCCGUUUCUGUUUAUUACAUUAGUUUGGCCAAGCAAACCAAUUAAUAUUUCCAAGAUCAUAUCUCUCUAAGUAAUUUAUUUCUAGAGUUGAUUUACCUUUUGCGUUAAUGUGCAUCAUACCAAGCUUGCUGCCAUCUGGGCCUUCUCUUUAUUAGUUGUUUCAUCACAACUAUGUAACUGAUGACUGGUGACUAUGGUCUCCAUUCAUAUUUUUGACUAAUAUGUUUGUAUCGCUUUCAUGUUGUGUAUGGAUUUUUUUUUAAUCACUUAGUAACCUUUAUGCUUUCCUAUUGUAACUGGUUUUAAUGCAGCUAAAUCUUGACGAUUUUCGUAAGAUUGUUUGCCGUUGCAAUAUGAUACGAGGUUCUGAAAAUUAUUGAUGAUUAUAAAACCUCAAUUAACAGCAUUCAAUUUCCAGGUAUUGCAAGGAAAUGGCGUCACAUGACUUUUUUUUUUUUUUGGUUAAUAUUUUUUAUUCGUAUUUACACUUGGUGAUUGUAACUAUGGUUAUUUCUCUGGAUUGGUUUUGUCUGAAUUCUGAUGGCCAAAUGUAAAUUUAACCUGCUCCAGGAAUGUGUUGUAAUUCUGGAAUUUGACAUGGUUGUCAAGUAUUCCAAAUUUAACAUCAGGAUGUCUUUGCUUACAUUUCAAAUUAUUGUUUGACUUCUACGUUUCAUUGCUCUCUUGUAGGCAAAGCAGAUGUAGUUAGCAUUCCUGCUCGAUGGGCCUCUUGGGGCCUGAAACGAGUUAUUGAGCCAGCCUUCUUUGCCAAGUUUGAUUGUGCUAGAAGUCUCACUGUCAUCUCUUAAAUAUAGGAUCUCAUAUAGAAUGAAGCUGCCAUAUUGACAUCCGCAUUACUCUUCUAGCUCUUUUGGGUAUUCAUUAUCUAAGUUCCCUUUGUUUUUACUUUUGUGAGGUGAUUCUUCUAGGAUGGACAAGUAAAUUGAAACUGCUAUCCUUGUGUGAAUUAUUUUGAUAUUGAUUUCCCAAGAAGAAUCUUAGUACGUGAAAUGUUUUCGAAUGAUUGUUGUCUCUAUAAUCCUAUGCGGUUGAAUGUACUCUUUCCAAACAUGCAUCUAAUUUUCUCUUUCCAAAUGCUGCUCAAAGCAAUGAUUUCCAGAACCAAGAAAAGCACUUCCGAACAAAGUAUAACUUGGGUCCGCCAAGUAAAAUCAAACAACCUAACCCAAAGGCUACGGCUGAUCUGACUGUGACUCUGCGAGCAAUUCAAAAUCUUGCAUACAUAUCUGUAAAUCUACAUUGAAAAUGACUCCCUAUAAGCCAUCUUCGAGAGUUCUCACAUGGCUUAUUCAAACUUGAGACAUGAUAGCGAAGGAUAAAAAUAGCGAACAUGUACAUCUAUGGGAACAAAUGUGCAUGUG